UCUUUUUCUUAUUCUUCCUAUUCUUCUUCUUUUGUUUUCAUUCUUUAUUUUUCUUUUGUUUUGAUCACUUAUCCGGAUAGAUCGGAAUAUGAAAUGGAAGGGAUGGAAGACUCACCUAGCUCCGGGACAACUAUGUGAUGUUCCCUCCGGCGGCUCGGAUCCCUACUCCGAUGAUAUUGCUCAUGCUUCAGUUCCUUGUAGCAGAAAAAGAGGGGAAUGAGAAGAAAUGAGAGGGUGAUGGAGUUCCUUUGUGAGGGAGCCAUGAGCCUUAAUAGCCCUCAGCUGGAAGAGGAGAGUGGUGGUGAUCGUGGCUGUCA
RNAcentral lists this long non-coding RNA (317 nucleotides) under Phoenix dactylifera (date palm). RNAcentral describes it as "long non-coding RNA (PDAC_LNC012911)". The record is from RNAcentral. Lineage: Eukaryota; Viridiplantae; Streptophyta; Magnoliopsida; Arecales; Arecaceae.